RNAcentral lists this ribosomal RNA (253 nucleotides) under uncultured bacterium. RNAcentral's name for it is "partial 16S ribosomal RNA". It matches the Rfam family "Bacterial small subunit ribosomal RNA", at positions 524 to 776 of the family's 1533-position model. The record is from RNAcentral.
UACGUAGGCAGCAAGCGUUGUUCGGAGUUACUGGGCGUAAAGGGUGUGUAGGCGGUUGUUUAAGUUUGGUGUGAAAUCUCCCGGCUCAACUGGGAGGGUGCGCCGAAUACUGAAUGACUAGAGUGCGGGAGAGGAAAGUGGAAUUCCUGGUGUAGCGGUGAAAUGCGUAGAUAUCAGGAGGAACACCUGUGGCGAAAGCGGCUCACUGGACCACAACUGACGCUGAUGCACGAAAGCUAGGGGAGCAAACAGG